UACGUAGGGGGCAAGCGUUGUCCGGAUUUAUUGGGCGUAAAGAGCGUGUAGGCGGCCAUACAGGUCAGCUGUGAAAACUCGAGGCUCAACCUCGAGACGUCGGUUGAAACCGUAUGGCUAGAGUCCGGAAGAGGAGAGUGGAAUUCCCGGUGUAGCGGUGAAAUGCGCAGAUAUCGGGAAGAACACCCGUGGCGAAGGCGGCUCACUGGCCCGAUACUGACGCUGAGGCACGAAAGCGUGGGGAGCAAACAGG
RNAcentral lists this ribosomal RNA (253 nucleotides) under uncultured bacterium. RNAcentral describes it as "partial 16S ribosomal RNA". It matches the Rfam family "Bacterial small subunit ribosomal RNA", at positions 524 to 776 of the family's 1533-position model. The record is from RNAcentral.